RNAcentral lists this ribosomal RNA (441 nucleotides) under uncultured bacterium. RNAcentral describes it as "partial 16S ribosomal RNA". It matches the Rfam family "Bacterial small subunit ribosomal RNA", at positions 338 to 795 of the family's 1533-position model. The record is from RNAcentral.
CCUACGGGUGGCAGCAGUGGGGAAUAUUGCACAAUGGGGGGAACCCUGAUGCAGCGAAGCCGCGUGGGUGAAGGAGUAUUUCGGUAUGUAAAGCCUUAUCAGCAGGGAAGUACAAUGAGGGUACUUGACUAAGAAGCACCGGCUAAAUACGUGCCAGCAGCCGCGGGAAUACGUAUGGUGCGAGCGUUAUCCGGAUUUACUGGGUGUAAAGGGAGCGCAGGCGGGGCGUUAAGCCUGGUGUGAAAGCCCGCGGCCCAACCGCGGGACUGCAUUGGAAACUGGCGCGCUGGAGUGCUGGGGGGGUAGGCGGAAUGCGUAGUGUAGCGGUGAAAUGCGUAGAUAUUAGGAAGAACACCGAUGGCGAAGGCAGCCUACUGGACGGUGACUGACGCUGAGGCUCGAAAGCGUGGGGAGCAAACAGGAUUAGAUACCCCUGUAGUC